CGUCGCCUGUUUAUCAAAAACAUGUCUACGUGAUAGAAUGUAGUCUGACCUGCCCACUGACGUAAACGUUGAAGGGCCGCAGUAUCUUGACUGUGCAAAGGUAGCAUAAUCAUUAGCUUUAUUGAGAGCUUGUAUGAAUGGUUGGACGAGAUAGACACUGUCUCUUUUAUAAUUUUUGAACUUAACUUUUAAGUGCAAAGGCUUAAAUAAAUUAGGGGGACGAUAAGACCCUAUAAAUCUCGUUUUUAUUGUUUUAUUUGUGUGUAAGUUGAUAAUUAAUAAUAAAUGAUGUUUUGCUGGGGCGGCAUAGAUAAAAUACUUAACUGUUUUACUAGACAAUGAUUUUUGAUUGUUAAUAAUUGGUCCUUUUUUUAGAUUUAAAGAUAAAGUUACUUUAGGGAUAACAGCGUUAUUUUUUUUAAGAGUUCAUAUCAAAAAAGUUUGCGACCUCGAUGUUGAAUUAAAAUUUCUCGGUGCAGAAGC
This 483-nucleotide ribosomal RNA is filed under the name Albunea sp. Its description in RNAcentral is "partial large subunit ribosomal RNA". It matches the Rfam family "Bacterial large subunit ribosomal RNA", at positions 1794 to 2559 of the family's 2925-position model. The record is from RNAcentral. Lineage: Eukaryota; Metazoa; Arthropoda; Malacostraca; Decapoda; Albuneidae.